Molecule: ribosomal RNA, 294 nt
Filed under: uncultured bacterium
Lineage: Bacteria
Description: partial 16S ribosomal RNA
Rfam family: Bacterial small subunit ribosomal RNA
Source: RNAcentral
UCCACGCAGUAAACGAUGAAUGUUAGUCGUUGGGUAGCUAGUCUAUUCAGUGAUGCAGUUAACACAUUAAACAUUCCGCCUGGGGAGUACGGUCGCAAGAUUAAAACUCAAAGGAAUAGACGGGGACCCCGUGCAAGUGGUGGAGCAUGUGGUUUAAUUCGAAAAUACGCGAAGAACCUUACCUAGCCUUGACAUUGAAGAAACACACUAGAGAUACAGUGGUGCCUUAGGGAGCUUUAUUACAGGUGCUGCACGGCUGUCGUCAGCUCGUGUCGUGAGAUGGUGGAAUUAGCG